RNAcentral lists this ribosomal RNA (964 nucleotides) under Hynobius leechii (Gensan salamander). RNAcentral's name for it is "partial 12S ribosomal RNA". It matches the Rfam family "Bacterial small subunit ribosomal RNA". The record is from RNAcentral. Lineage: Eukaryota; Metazoa; Chordata; Amphibia; Caudata; Hynobiidae.
AUGCAAGUUAGCCCCCCUGUGAAAAUGCCCUUCUUUACCUAUUAGUAAAUAAGGAGCGGAUAUCAGGCACAAUUUAUGCCCAUAACAUCUUGCCAAGCCACACCUCUACAGGAAUUCAGCAGUGAUAAACAUUGAAAAAUAAGCGUCAAUAAGCUCGAAUCAGUAAUAAUUUUAAGAGUUGGUAAAUUUCGUGCCAGCCACCGCGGUUAUACGAGAAACUCAAAUUAAUAAAAACGGCCUAAAGCGUGAUUAAAUUAUAUUAAAAUAAAUAGAAAUAAAAAUUAACUCGACUGUUAUACGUAUAUGUUAAACGGUAAACCAAAAACGAAAGAUAUUCUAACAAAUAAACUACUUGAACCCACGAAAGCUAAGAAACAAACUAGGAUUAGAUACCCUACUAUGCUCAGCCUUAAACUUUGGAACAACCCGCCGAGAUACCCUACUAUGCUCAGCCUUAAACUUUGGAACAACCCGCCUGAGUAAGAUACCCUACUAUGCUCAGCCUUAAACUUUGGAACAACCCGCCGAGAUACCCUACUAUGCUCAGCCUUAAACUUUGGAACAAGAUACCCUACUAUGCUCAGCCUUAAACUUUGGAACAACCCGCCUGAGUACUACGAGCCACAGCUUAAAACUCAAAGGACUUGGCGGUGCUCUACACCCCCCUAGAGGAGCCUGUUCUAUAAUUGAUACCCCCCGCUAAACCUCACCACUUAUUGCCAAUACCGCUUAUAUACCGCCGUCGUCAGCUCACCAUUUGAAUGCGAAUUAAGAAAUGGGCUACCUUUUUUAAACUAGAAAAUACGAAAAUACGAAAAAUUUUAUGAAAAACUAUUUAAAGGUGGAUUUAGCCGUAAAAAGAAAAUAGAGUGUUCUUUUUAAAUAGGCCAUAGAGGGGGCACACACCGCCCGUCACCCUCCUCAGAAAAACAACUAAUUUAUAUAAAGAAAGGGAAGGAGGCCC